This 253-nucleotide ribosomal RNA is filed under the name uncultured bacterium. Its description in RNAcentral is "partial 16S ribosomal RNA". It matches the Rfam family "Bacterial small subunit ribosomal RNA", at positions 524 to 776 of the family's 1533-position model. The record is from RNAcentral.
UACGUAGGGUGCAAGCGUUAAUCGGAAUUACUGGGCGUAAAGUGUGCGCAGGCGGUUUUGUAAGUCUGUCGUGAAAUCCCCGGGCUCAACCUGGGAAUUGCGAUGGAGACUGCAAGGCUAGAAUCUGGCAGAGGGGGGUAGAAUUCCACGUGUAGCAGUGAAAUGCGUAGAGAUGUGGAGGAACACCGAUGGCGAAGGCAGCCCCCUGGGUCAAGAUUGACGCUCAUGCACGAAAGCGUGGGGAGCAAACAGG